ACUUCUUUGCCGCCGGGUAAAGAAUUUAAGCGUCAGAAUUUCUGUCAUUAGGCCUUUGAAGACAGGAAUCCUGGCGCUUUUUAUAU
RNAcentral lists this non-coding RNA (86 nucleotides) under unclassified sequences. The record is from RNAcentral.